AUUGCUUCUCGGCCUUUUGGCUAAGAUCAAGUGUAGAUGUUCAUAAGUGAGUAAAUUAGCCCACAUUAAAAUUAUUUUUCUAAAAGUUUCU
Molecule: small nuclear RNA, 91 nt
Filed under: Myotis davidii
Lineage: Eukaryota; Metazoa; Chordata; Mammalia; Chiroptera; Vespertilionidae
Description: U2 spliceosomal RNA
Rfam family: U2 spliceosomal RNA
About the family: U2 is a small nuclear RNA (snRNA) component of the spliceosome (involved in pre-mRNA splicing).
Source: Rfam by way of RNAcentral